AACGCACAUUGCGCCCGUUAGUAUUCUGACGGGCAUGCCUGUCCGAGCGUCAUUUCAACCCUUAAGCACCGCUUAGUGUUGGCGGAUUACGGGGCCCUUCGGGGCGCCAUAACCGCCCAAAUACAGUGGCGGCCCCGCCGCGGCUCCCCUUGCGUAGUAACUCACCUCGCACCGGGCCCGGGCGGCGGCUCUGCCGUAAAACAUUUCUUUUACAAGAACAAAAGGUUGACCUCGGAUCAGGUAGGAAUACCCGCUGAACUUAA
RNAcentral lists this unclassified non-coding RNA (263 nucleotides) under uncultured Hypocreales. RNAcentral describes it as "sequence contains 5.8S rRNA gene, ITS2, 28S rRNA gene". Lineage: Eukaryota; Fungi; Ascomycota; Sordariomycetes; Hypocreales. The record is from RNAcentral.